RNAcentral lists this transfer RNA (75 nucleotides) under Nanobdellota archaeon. Its description in RNAcentral is "tRNA-Arg". It matches the Rfam family "tRNA". Rfam says of the family: Transfer RNA (tRNA) molecules are approximately 80 nucleotides in length. Their secondary structure includes four short double-helical elements and three loops (D, anti-codon, and T loops). The record is from RNAcentral. Lineage: Archaea; Nanobdellati; Nanobdellota.
GGGCCCGUAGUUUAGCUUGGAUAGAACGGCAGACUUCUAAUCUGCAUGUCGCAGGUUCAAAUCCUGCCGGGCCCA